AUACGUAGGGGGCGAGCGUUGUCCGGAAUGAUUGGGCAUAAAGGGCGCGUAGGCGGCCCGGUAAGUCUGGAGUGAAAGUCCUGUGUUUAAGAUGGGAAUUGCUUUGGAUACUGUCGGGCUUGAGUGUAGGAGAGGGUAGUGGAAUUCCCAGUGUAGCGGUGAAAUGCGUAGAGAUCGGGAGGAACACCAGUGGCGAAGGCGACUACCUGGCCCAUUCUUGACGCUGAGGCGCGAAAGCUAGGGGAGCGAACGGGAUUAGAAACCCUAGUAGUCC
This 274-nucleotide ribosomal RNA is filed under the name uncultured bacterium. Its description in RNAcentral is "partial 16S ribosomal RNA". It matches the Rfam family "Bacterial small subunit ribosomal RNA", at positions 523 to 796 of the family's 1533-position model. The record is from RNAcentral.